GUUGGCUAUAAAGCCCUGAGGAUGAGCAAGUCACAAGUCAACCAGCUGUUUCUGAGAGGAGCAGCAUGGCCUUGCCGGUGGGGUUCCUGUUGCUCUGGGUCUGUGGAUUUCACCGUGUGGUCUGUCCUGACUAUGAGGAUGAUGAUCCUCCAGCUGUAGGUGAGUUGAUAAAAACUUUAAGAGUUGUUUUUUAAAUUUGGCAAUAAAAUAUAAAGUUAUUCAAUAUUAUGCUCCUUU
Molecule: long non-coding RNA, 237 nt
Filed under: Neogale vison (American mink)
Lineage: Eukaryota; Metazoa; Chordata; Mammalia; Carnivora; Mustelidae
Description: Neovison vison (American mink) lncRNA (ENSNVIG00000011247.1)
Source: RNAcentral